This 30-nucleotide non-coding RNA is filed under the name Mus musculus (house mouse). Lineage: Eukaryota; Metazoa; Chordata; Mammalia; Rodentia; Muridae. The record is from RNAcentral.
UCCCAGAAGAAUGAUGGUAUCAUGGUACGC